RNAcentral lists this ribosomal RNA (225 nucleotides) under uncultured bacterium. RNAcentral's name for it is "partial 16S ribosomal RNA". It matches the Rfam family "Bacterial small subunit ribosomal RNA", at positions 1275 to 1500 of the family's 1533-position model. The record is from RNAcentral.
AAACUAAACGUACUCAGUUCGGAUGCAGCCUGCAACUCGGCUGCAUGAAGCUGGAAUCGCUAGUAAUCGCGGAUCAGAAUGCCGCGGUGAAUACGUUCCCGGGUCUUGUACACACCGCCCGUCACACCAUGGGAGUUGGAAAUGCCCGAAGUCAGUGGCCCAACCGCAAGGAGGGAGCUGCCGAAGGCAGGUUCGAUGACUGGGGUGAAGUCGUAACAAGGUAAC